AUUGAACGCUGGCGGCAUGCUUUACACAUGCAAGUCGAACGGUAACAGGGUGCUUGCACCGCUGACGAGUGGCGAACGGGUGAGUAAUGCAUCGGAACGUACCCAGUCGUGGGGGAUAACGUAGCGAAAGUUACGCUAAUACCGCAUACGUCCUGAGGGAGAAAGCGGGGGACCGUAAGGCCUCGCGCGAUUGGAGCGGCCGAUGUCGGAUUAGCUAGUUGGUAGGGUAAAGGCCUACCAAGGCGACGAUCCGUAGCGGGUCUGAGAGGAUGAUCCGCCACACUGGGACUGAGACACGGCCCAGACUCCUACGGGAGGCAGCAGUGGGGAAUUUUGGACAAUGGGCGAAAGCCUGAUCCAGCCAUGCCGCGUGAGUGAAGAAGGCCUUCGGGUUGUAAAGCUCUUUCAGAUGGAAAGAAAACGUACAGGUUAAUACCUUGUGCGGAUGACGGUACCAUCAGAAGAAGCACCGGCUAACUACGUG
RNAcentral lists this ribosomal RNA (484 nucleotides) under uncultured organism. RNAcentral describes it as "bacterial SSU rRNA". It matches the Rfam family "Bacterial small subunit ribosomal RNA", at positions 30 to 507 of the family's 1533-position model. The record is from RNAcentral.